RNAcentral lists this long non-coding RNA (264 nucleotides) under Capsicum annuum. Its description in RNAcentral is "long non-coding RNA (CANN_LNC017851)". Lineage: Eukaryota; Viridiplantae; Streptophyta; Magnoliopsida; Solanales; Solanaceae. The record is from RNAcentral.
UGAGUGUGGAAUCAUUCGUGUUGGAUUCAUGCUUGGAACGUUGGGUGCUAGAGGAGGUUAAGGUCUCUCUUGUGCUCACCGAAGAGAUAGGUAUUUGUAGUGUGUAGUGUUAAGGGUCCAAGAGUGGAAUAGGCUCUUGGGUUCUUAAGAUUAUACCUUCACUUUGUCUAUCUAUCUAUCUUUACAUUUCUUGUACUCUUUGUUGUUGUUCUAGUCAAAACCGUGUGUUGUUGUUUCCAUUGUGUUAUUGUUCAUCUUGUUCUU